AGGCUGGAUAUGUGUGUGCUCUGGUUUCUUCUUAUUCUUUUUUUUUUUUGCAGAUUUUUGUUAUUGUUGAUAUGUUGUUUGCAGGAAUGGUUAUGUGAGAGUGGUUUUGUUGUUGUUGUUGUUUGGUGAUUCAAAGAAAGAGAGUUGUGGUGGUUAAGGUGUAUGUGAUAUAUGAUGUUUUUAGAGGUUAAAGAUGUUUUGUGAUUGAGGUUUAUGGUUGUUUAUGGUGGAGAGGUUAAGUGGGAUGGUUAAGAAGAGUAAUAGUGAAGUGAUUGAUUUUUUGUGUUUAAGGAGAUGAAUGGUGGUGUAUUAUGGUGAUGGGGUUUUGAAGGUGGAGGG
Molecule: long non-coding RNA, 339 nt
Filed under: Lathyrus oleraceus (garden pea)
Lineage: Eukaryota; Viridiplantae; Streptophyta; Magnoliopsida; Fabales; Fabaceae
Description: Pisum sativum (pea) long non-coding RNA (PSAT_LNC035148)
Source: RNAcentral